AUUAAAGGUAGAAAUAGAUACAAAAUGUAUGGUGGAGUUCCGGAGGAUAGGUGGGCGUCUCCUCUAGGAAAGAAGACGACCUAUAAAAUGCCUAUCUUGGGAUGGACCUCCAUAACGAGGCGAGUAUGGGCCGCCUCUGAUAAGCCCGUCUUCUCCUCGGUUGUUCGGACCCGUUAGGUCUUCAGACCACCGAACUAGGAGAAGGUCACUCCGAUAAAAAACCAAACAAAAUAGAUAAUGGGCAACAUCAAAACGAUCUCAGUGGGAUCGGAUACCACGGACCGGCAGCGGAGUGUUCGAGGUCCUGACACAUCGCGAUCAUCAUCAAGCAAGGGACUACGACCCAUGGCAUCUGUCACGAGCGCGAUAUCAAUGUUUGAAUUGAUGAUAAAAAUUAUGCGGUAUUUAUGGUAAAAAAACUAUAUAUUCAAGUGUGGGAUGACAUAGAAUUUUUCAACAAUUUCAUUUGAAAAGGAAUGCAGUGCUCAAAUUAUUGCAUGCAAUUGAAGACCGAUUGUUACUCUGAAACACAUGUAAUUCUAGAUCAUUAACACCGAUUAACCAGUUGUCAUCAUAAAAUGUCCUCGAAUUGCAGCAGAUGCGCGAGGAGCGGAGGCAGAAGCGGCAAGAGCAGCAGGUCUUCCGCGGUCAGAUCGAGACCCGUUUUCUGGAGCGAGAGGCAGCUCUGAAGCAUUUGAAGGAACGGAUCGGCCGCACACAGCUAAGUCGUUCUGAUAAUAUUUCCGCGAACAAAAUUCCGACGCGCGAUGUGGCGCGAGCAAAUUUUCCGAACGUCUUAAUUAACGCGAGGAAAUCGAGCGUCGAUCGGUUUGAGAGUUAAAUCCGACAGUAGUGUGAAAACGGUGGCAUUGGCGCGUUCAGUUUUGGAUGGGUUGAACGCGGAAAAUGGUGAAUUAACGUUUUCGGAAAUUAAAUCCGAAUUAGAAUUGCGUUUCGGCGAGAGCGAGCUCGCGCAAAGUUUUUAUUUACAAUUUACGAAUCGUCUCCAGUGAAAGAUUACGCGACGUUGAAUGCUCUCAAAACGUGCGGGAUAAAAUCGCGUGCUCGCAGUUCGUUGCACCGAUGUGAACCCCUGGCGCCCAACAUUGUUAAAAAAAAAAAGAACUAUGUAGUUCGAUUGUACUUCGUUUGUACCCGUUUGUACCUCUAUUAAAAUCGUUUAUAACUCAAAAAGUUAAAAAAUACCAGGGGGUAAUAAAAUGGUCAGCGCCCAACUAUAAAUUUUUUUAAUUCUGCUUAUGCCAUUCGAAAGAGAAUCGUUUGUACCCGUUUGUACCUCCGUUAAAAUCGUUUAUACCUCAAAGGGACCGGAAGUAUAGGCUUUUCAAACGAUAACGCGGGUGUCGUGUUCGGAAACAGAAGAAAAAAAAACGUAUCUUGAUUGAUCUCGGCAAGAAGGGAUCUACUUUUGUUUAAAAAAAGAGGGGAUAAAUUUGAUUUUCUUUUAAAAAGUUGUUGUUGUCUGUUUUGUAAUAUUUUACAGAAUUUGUUGCGGUUAAUUUGGAAACGCUCAGGCUGAAAAUUGACGUGGGAAGCAGAAGAAAAAAAAACAUUUAAAGAAGACCGUCUCGCUCACGGUUUUCGACCGUGGUUUUCCGUGAGACUAUGGGCGAAUGCCGAGACGGGGACAAGGGUACCCUUUCAGGGCGUAAGGAGUCCACGGGAAGUUACCUCCCCCUUGUCCGAAGAACAAGGAAGAAGAGCGCAAGACCCGGUGUGGAAAAGGAAGAAGACUCGAUGGGAAAGGAGCACGGGGACGGAAAGAAGGAUACUCGUGACAUAUCAUUGUAUCUGACGUCCAAAUUUAAUCGUUUUACAUUUUUUGAAAUAUUUGUCUUUUUUUGCGCUAUUUCGUCAUACGUGCGUAACAAUAAAGAUUAAAUUUCGUA
Molecule: RNA transcript, 1910 nt
Organism: Monomorium pharaonis (pharaoh ant)
Lineage: Eukaryota; Metazoa; Arthropoda; Insecta; Hymenoptera; Formicidae
Exons: 2
Source: RefSeq, a predicted model, not a curated record